RNAcentral lists this unclassified non-coding RNA (432 nucleotides) under soil metagenome. RNAcentral describes it as "partial contains 5.8S ribosomal RNA, internal transcribed spacer 2, and large subunit ribosomal RNA". The stretch from base 1 to 120 matches the Rfam family "5.8S ribosomal RNA", at positions 35 to 154 of the family's 154-position model. The record is from RNAcentral.
GAUGAAGAACGAAGCGAAAUGCGAUACGUAAUGUGAAUUGCAGAAUUCAGUGAAUCAUCGAAUCUUUGAACGCAUAUUGCGCUCUCUGGUAUUCCGGAGAGCAUGCUUGUUUGAGUAUCAGUAAACACCUCAACUUCCAUAUCUUUUUUGAAAUGGGAGUUGGACUUGAGUGAUCCCAACGCUUUUCCUCACCGAAAAGUGGCGGGUUACUUGAAAUGCAGGUGCAGCUGGACUUUUCUCUGAGCUAUAAGCAUAUCUAUUUAGUCUGCCUAAAAACAGAUUAUUACCUUUGCUGCAGCUAACAUAAAGGAGAUUAGUUCUUGUGCUGACUGAUGCAGGAUUCACAAAGACAGGCUUCGGCCGACUUUGUAAACUCGAUCUCAAAUCAAGUAAGACUACCCGCUGAACUUAAGCAUAUCAAUAAGCGGAGGA